Pezoporus occidentalis (night parrot) is the source of this 2300-nucleotide long non-coding RNA. RefSeq lists it as uncharacterized. The record is from RefSeq and is a predicted model, not a curated record. The transcript is spliced from 2 exons. NCBI's taxonomy places the organism in Eukaryota, Metazoa, Chordata, Aves, Psittaciformes, Psittacidae.
GUUAUGUUGGCAUAAAAAUUCGGUUACACAGAAUUUAAAUUAGUGGUGCCGUACUAGAUGGUGCCUCUAUAAUAAACUUGUCGCUAUGUUACUAGUAUAAUUUUUAAUUAAGUAGUUUGAUAUAGAUCUUCACUUGAUUUUUUUCCUUUUUUUUUUUUUUUUUUUAAUGGGAGCUUGAAACUAAAGUCUGGAUGAAGUUCAGACCGUAGUGGUGUCUUACUGUAACCCUGUAGUUCUGGGACUGUCUCAAAUUGCACUUAUGCAUCCAUGUUACACAACUUUUUGUAAAGACUUUUUUCCAUAAAAAUCACCUAGCACUGUCUCGCAAUAUAUUAAAUGUAGGUAUGCAGAAUAAGUACACUGUUGGUGUCUUGUACAGACAGAUAUUAUUGGCUGGCUAUGUGAUUAGAAAUGUAAAUUGUACAGUACUUGAGCAAGUGGCAGGAUAACAGAAAUAGUGACGCAUGCUAUCCUCAGAAUAGCUUUUUGUGAGAAACAGCAGAAUGCUAUCAGCUUAAGUCUUCUUGGAAAUAAUUCACUGAAAAACUAGCAGAUAAAUUCUGUGGAACAAUACUAUACUGAUAGAUUGGUAUUUAUCAGAUUGGAGGAAGUAUCUGAAUACUCUAGUCAUGGCCCUGGGCAUCGUUCUUAGCUCCUAUGCAAACAACUAUGUUCCAGGUUGUUCAUUGACUCCAACACCCAGGUGAAAGGAUGACAUAGACACUGAAGUGGGAUGAAAUGACAGCCUGCAGCUGAAGCAGUAGUAAAUGCAGUGCUCAGGUACACCACCCUGGCAGUAUUCCUUGGGUUGCUGAUAGCAAUCUGCCUCUUGCUCACAUUCUCAUUUGAGCUGAGCAGCUUCUGUAGAAGUGCUCUCCUUCACCUUACCUUUUAGUAUGUUACUGCUUUAUCUCACCACAAGGAUAAGUAAUGUGCCUUCGAAUCAAGACAGAGCAGCAAGCUGGUCCAUUGUACUCUCUGAGAAGAGCCACUACCUGUAGUAUUUUGAAUAAUUUAAUGAAUUUAGAACUAUGUGUGAUAGUCAGGGCAAGUGUGUGAGUAUCCUUUUAUUUAUCCAGAGCCAAAUGUUAACCUUAUCUCUGUUUGCAUUACCUAUUACGUUGUACAAUAUAGUCUCUGAAGAGUAUUUCUAUGCUGAUAAAUACAUAAUUUCCUACUGCAAACCUGAGGUGACAGGAAAUUGUAAAAAUUUAGUAUUACAAGAAUUUCAUGUCUGACGCUGUCUCCUGUAAUGGUAUUGUAGCUCAUGACAUUGUUAUGCAGUGUUUCACUCAACAAGCUAUUCUAUAAGGCUGUUUUUGUGGUGAAUAUUGAUGUCUAUAGCAGUUUGUUGGUAUUACAUGUUUUAGUUUUGGUUAUCCUGUAGUAAAACUUUAAGAUUCUUGGCAUUACGCUUAGGAUGGAGUAGUCAGAGUGCUAGGCAAGAUGGUGCAUGAUCUUGUUUCCUCUUCUAGUUUACCAGAGAAUCCUUUGAACUUAUACUGUAAAAUCGCUUUUAACUAGAGCCAUGAAAAAAAUUAUUCAGGAAUAUGAACUACUUUGAGAACAAGGUGUGAAAAAGUAUUAUGUAGCUCUUGAUAUUUUACUUAUGUUUUAUGGUGCCAAUGCAAAUAUAAGCUAUGAGUGCAGCUUCUGACCUGGACCAGAGUUAAGAAUGCUAAACAACUGACAGCUUUAUUUUUUCCUUUUUUAAUAGAAUAAGGCCAGAUUUUUGGUGUUUUUUUUUCACCUCUUGGGCUAAUAUGAAUGACCUAAAAAGACUGUUGCAACUACUGCAUUCUUCUAGGUAGCUUUAUAUUGAUGUUCUAAGAAAGACUUUCUGCUCAUACGCAAGUACUAAAAUUGUUUCGUCCACUAAAAAGAACAUUAGAGGGCAUAAAAAGCAACUUUGAUUUUAUUUUUUUCCUUAGAUUUUAUACGUCAGCAGACCUUGUAAAUCUUUGUUUUGCUCCGUUCCACUGCAGGCAAAUGGAUUUCACAUAACUUUGAAACAGAAGCUUAAAAAUUACGUAUCUUACUUUGUAUGCCCUCUUUUCAAGAAGCUGCUGUAGAAAAUAUAAAGUAGUUGAGGGACAUGUUUGGUUACAUUAUACAGAAACUGUGGCUAUUUACUUGAAUUGUUUUUGUCUUUACCUUGGAUUUUAUGACGGUUUUGGUAGUAUACAUGUAUGCCAUCACAGAUAAUGGAUUCAUAUGUAAUUCAGUGUAUUCAUGACUUCUGUUGUGAAUUUUUGUUUUCUUAGUAAACUAAUAAAAACACUCAUGAUUUUGCCAUUUAA